Molecule: ribosomal RNA, 448 nt
Filed under: [Eubacterium] yurii
Lineage: Bacteria; Bacillati; Bacillota; Clostridia; Peptostreptococcales; Filifactoraceae
Description: bacterial SSU rRNA
Rfam family: Bacterial small subunit ribosomal RNA
Source: RNAcentral
GAUGAACGCCGGCGGCGUGCCUAACACAUGCAAGUCGAACGAAGUGUAUAUAGGAAGUCUUGGAUGGAAUAUGUAUAACUUAGUGGCGGACGGGUGAGUAGCGCGUAAGUAAUCAACCUGUGACACACGGAUAACUGAUAGAAAUGUCAGCUAAUACGAGAUGAACUGUUUAAAUUGGGAAAUGGAAACAGCAAAGCGAAAGCGGUCACAGACGAGCUUGCGUCUGAUUAGCUAGUUGGUGGGGUAAGAGCCUACCAAGGCGACGAUCAGUAGCCGGCCUGAGAGGGUGAACGGCCACAUUGGAACUGAGACACGGUCCAAACUCCUACGGGAGGCAGCAGUGGGGGAUAUUGCACAAUGGGGGGAACCCUGAUGCAGCAACGCCGCGUGAGUGAAGAAGGCCCUAGGGUCGUAAAGCUUCUGUUCGUGUGGGGAGAAACAAAUGACU